AUUGAACGCUGGCGGCAUGCCUUACACAUGCAAGUCGAACGGUAACAGCACUUCGGUGGCUGACGAGUGGCGGACGGGUGAGUAAUACAUCGGAACGUGCCCGAUCGUGGGGGAUAACUACUCGAAAGAGUGGCUAAUACCGCAUACGAUCUACGGAUGAAAGCGGGGGAUCGCAAGACCUCGCGCGGACGGAGCGGCCGAUGGCAGAUUAGGUAGUUGGUGGGAUAAAAGCUUACCAAGCCGACGAUCUGUAGCUGGUCUGAGAGGACGACCAGCCACACUGGGACUGAGACACGGCCCAGACUCCUACGGGAGGCAGCAGUGGGGAAUUUUGGACAAUGGGGGAAACCCUGAUCCAGCCAUGCCGCGUGCAGGAUGAAGGCCUUCGGUUGUAACUGCUUUGUACGGAACGAAAGACUCUUCUAAUACAGAGGGUCCAUGACGGUACCGUAAGAAUAAGCACCGGCUAACUACGUGCCAGCAGCCGCGGUAAACU
Molecule: ribosomal RNA, 496 nt
Filed under: uncultured bacterium
Lineage: Bacteria
Description: bacterial SSU rRNA
Rfam family: Bacterial small subunit ribosomal RNA
Source: RNAcentral